This 301-nucleotide ribosomal RNA is filed under the name uncultured bacterium. RNAcentral describes it as "partial 16S ribosomal RNA". It matches the Rfam family "Bacterial small subunit ribosomal RNA", at positions 509 to 807 of the family's 1533-position model. The record is from RNAcentral.
CAGCAGCCACGGGAAUACGAAGGGUGCAAGCGUUACUCGGAAUUACUGGGCGUAAAGCGUGCGUAGGUGGUGGUUUAAGUCCGUUGUGAAAGCCCUGGGCUCAACCUGGGAAUUGCAGUGGAUACUGGGUCACUAGAGUGUGGUAGAGGAUAGUGGAAUUUCCGGUGUAGCAGUGAAAUGCGUAGAGAUCGGAAGGAACAUCUGUGGCGAAGGCGAUUAUCUGGGCCAACACCGACACUGAGGCACGAAAGCGUGGGGAUCAAACAGGAUUAGAUACCCCAGUAGUCCCUGUCUCUUAUAC